ACUUUUUGAAGAGCAAGACUUUUCAAUUUUGAUGAAGUCUAAAUUGUCAAUUUUUUUUCUUCUUUGGUUACUAACAUGAGUUUUAUGUCUGAUUAUAGGAAGAGGAUUUGACAAUUUGACUUCUGUCCAUCUUGCACGGCAUACUCCCACAGGAACACUGGUAACUAUAAAAAUUACAAAUCUGGAAAACUGCAAUGAAGAACGCCUGAAAGCUUUACAGAAAGCCGUGAUUCUAUCCCACUUUUUCCGGCAUCCCAAUAUUACAACUUAUUGGACAGUUUUCACUGUUGGCAGCUGGCUUUGGGUUAUUUCUCCAUUUAUGGCCUAUGGUUCAGCAAGUCAACUCUUGAGGACCUAUUUUCCUGAAGGAAUGAGUGAAACUUUAAUAAGAAACAUUCUCUUUGGAGCAGUGAGAGGGUUGAACUAUCUGCACCAAAAUGGCUGUAUUCACAGGAGUAUUAAAGCCAGCCAUAUCCUCAUUUCUGGUGAUGGCCUAGUGACCCUCUCUGGCCUGUCCCAUCUGCAUAGUUUGGUUAAGCAUGGACAGAGGCAUAGGGCUG
This 560-nucleotide small RNA is filed under the name Pongo abelii (Sumatran orangutan). Its description in RNAcentral is "retained intron". The record is from RNAcentral. Lineage: Eukaryota; Metazoa; Chordata; Mammalia; Primates; Hominidae.